This 1285-nucleotide long non-coding RNA is filed under the name Camelus dromedarius (Arabian camel). RNAcentral's name for it is "lncRNA (ENSCDRG00005005875.1)". The record is from RNAcentral. Lineage: Eukaryota; Metazoa; Chordata; Mammalia; Artiodactyla; Camelidae.
ACUGCCUUCUGCGCUAACACCUCCGUUUCUGUUUAUAACCGCGUAUUUAUUACUUAAUGUAUAUAAUGUAAUGUUUUGUAAGUUAUUAAUUUAUAUAUCUAACAUUGCCUGCCAAUGGUGGUGUUAAAUUUGUGUAGAAGACUCUGCCUAAGAGUUGCAACUUUUCUUGUACCGUUUUGUAUUGUGUAUUGUAUAACCUGAACAUUGCUUAAUAGAGACAUACGGCCCCCUCGCCAGUGAGGACACCAGUGGGUCUGCCCUCUGCCCCUGUCUGAGUUGCUAACACUGCUCAACGCCUUCGUGAAUCGGUUUUGGAAACAGGAUUCUCCCAUUAGAUACUAAGUGGUUUAUAUUGAGCUUUUACUUUUGUAGAGUUUGAUAGGGGUAGGGGACGACGGGAUGUGGUUUUUGCCCCUGUUCUAUCCAAAUCUGUACAUGAGUUGGGUUUUAACUGGGUUCUACUAUUAUCGUGGCUUCAGUUGAACAAAAAACACUACAUUGCGUUUAACGAGCAACUCACAGAUAGUUCUAGAAGUCCCCAAACUCCUGACUUGGAAGAGAGAGCCUCCUGCCUGCUGUUCAGCAGAAAUACCAUGUUCCAAUGAUGCAAAAGAAAACAAUAAAACAAUGUGAAUCCUAUAAUAAAAUGUGAACUGAUGUAGUAAAUUAUGCCAAUGUGAAGCUUCUGAUAACACUUGUUAGGCCUCUGAGUGGCUUUGGUCUCCGUCUGUAAAAUAUAUUUCCUGCUUCCAGAUCAGCAUUGUGACUCAGUAGAUAAAGAAAUGGCACAAACGUGCAUGACCAAUGGGUUUGUAUGUCUAUAAACACUGCAUUAUUUCAGGUGGACAUUUUAUUGUUUUCCGAAGUUUCUCACAAUGUAUGUUAAUAGUAUUAUUAUUAUAUAUUGUGCUCAGAUGCAUUCUUCAGAGACUUUUAUAUGAGGUGAAUAAACAAAAGCAUGAUUAGAUUAGACUGUAGGCCCAAUUAUUUUGUGGUUAGUUCUGACGCAUUAAAAGCGGAUCUUUUUUUUUUUUUUUUCUCUUCUCUCCUACCAUACCCCACAGAGAAAAUCAACCACUUUGCCUGGCCAACGGCACAACUGAAGUUUCAUAAUCUGUGUCCAAAAAGUCCCCCAGCUUGGAAGGUGUAGCUCUGCACCACAAGAAGGGAUCGAGGAGAAGAUCGCAGAGAAGCAGGAGCACAGAUGCGGCCCCGGGAUUAAGAGCUUAGGCUCUGAAGGUAAACGGACCCCAUCUCCAGUCCCUGCCCUUUCACUUCUUAGCUG